This 77-nucleotide transfer RNA is filed under the name Acidobacteriota bacterium. RNAcentral's name for it is "Acidobacteria bacterium tRNA-Asn". The record is from RNAcentral. Lineage: Bacteria; Pseudomonadati; Acidobacteriota.
AUCUGAGAGACCAUGUUACGCAAGGGAAUCGGCUGUUAACCGAAGGGUUGUAGGUUCGAGUCCUACCUGUGGAGCCA